CCCAGACUCCUACGGGAGGCAGCAGUGGGGAAUAUUGCACAAUGGGGGGAAACCCUGAUGCAGCGACGCCGCGUGGGUGAAGAAGUAUUUCGGUAUGUAAAGCCCUAUCAGCAGGGAAGAAGAAUGACGGUACCUGACUAAGAAGCACCGGCUAAAUACGUGCCAGCAGCCGCGGUAAUACGUAUGGUGCAAGCGUUAUCCGGAUUUACUGGGUGUAAAGGGAGCGCAGGCGGCACGCUAAGCCUGAUGUGAAAACCCGCGGCCCAACCGCGGGAGUGCAUUGGGAACUGGCGAGCUAGAGUACCGGAGGGGCAGGCGGAAUUCCUAGUGUAGCGGUGAAAUGCGUAGAUAUUAGGAGGAACACCAGUGGCGAAGGCGGCCUGCUGGACGGAGACUGACGCUGAGGCUCGAAAGCGUGGGGAGCAAACAGGAUUAGAUACCCGUGUA
This 447-nucleotide ribosomal RNA is filed under the name uncultured bacterium. Its description in RNAcentral is "partial 16S ribosomal RNA". It matches the Rfam family "Bacterial small subunit ribosomal RNA", at positions 330 to 792 of the family's 1533-position model. The record is from RNAcentral.